CUCAUAGCUCAGUCGGUAGAGCACUAGACUUUUAAUCUAGGUGUCCCGGGUUCGAAUCCCGGUGG
Molecule: transfer RNA, 65 nt
Filed under: bovine gut metagenome
Rfam family: tRNA
About the family: Transfer RNA (tRNA) molecules are approximately 80 nucleotides in length. Their secondary structure includes four short double-helical elements and three loops (D, anti-codon, and T loops).
Source: RNAcentral